CGAGCGCCCCGGCCACCGCGGGACCCCGGGCGGCGUGCGCACGCUGGCCCUGGCCCCCCUCCGGCUGGUAACCGGAGAACUGAAAGUGCCAUUUGCAAAGGGAGCGGGGGCUGGUGGUCCGCCAAACCGCUCUCCCCGCCCGGGUCCCCAGGGAGUCACCAGAACCGACGGGGCACCGGACCUCCGUCACUGAUCUGGAGCCCAGGUCACCCGCGUCACUGGCCAUCCCGGGGUCUGGGCUCCCAUCCGGUGUGCGAGCUGUUCCCCAGCCGCUGGGCCUGCCUUUCCAUCGGGGUUCCCCUUACAGGUCGGAUUCAGCAGGUAAAAGGUCUGCCGGGGGCCUUCGCUCCUAUAUCUAUCCAUGACAAUGAACCCCGUUCGCGCUGGCGGGGCGUUGGUGCAGUAAGCCCCCACCCUGCGCCUCGCGCAGCGCUCCAGGGAAUCCGCGCAUCCCCCGGCGAGGUCGCACGCAGCGUCAGGGCCAGCUUCGGAACCACCUUGGUUUGAUACGGGACUGCGGUGCUUCUUGCCCUGCGGUGUCCCGUGUCCCUCAGAAUGUUCUUUAGGCUCCACAGCUCUAGACUUCAAACUCUGCCACGGUGGAGCACAAGAGGAGAAAGAGUACGAGUGCAGAAUCACCCCUGGCGUCCCAGCAGUCCUGCAGACGUCCCUUUCUUUCCGGCAUGGAAAGCAGAGUACAAAGGCAAGGUCCUCAUCAGCUGUGGAACCCAAAGACAUGAUUUCAAGCUGGGAGCGUCAGGUACUGGUUCCUCUGGAACCCAGAGGAAAAGCCAGCAUUCUUUGAAAUGGCAGAAGCCACCAAAGUCAUCCUGCCCGUAUGAGAACAACAGACUGAAAUUGCACUAA
This 867-nucleotide long non-coding RNA is filed under the name Mustela putorius furo (domestic ferret). RNAcentral describes it as "lncRNA (ENSMPUG00000026089.1)". Lineage: Eukaryota; Metazoa; Chordata; Mammalia; Carnivora; Mustelidae. The record is from RNAcentral.